GUCCUUUUCAUGUAACUUCUAAAAUUCAGAUGAUUUGUUAUCGCUCCUAAAAUCGCCAACAAUUCUUUUGAAAAUUUUCCAGUUCUCUGUGAAGAAUCGUCCAGUCUCUGUAUGGAAGGGGACGGGAAACAUAUAAGACAAUAAUAUGUCAGCAUCUCAUGAGAGUACAGGUAUAUGUGUGUCACACACUGAGUCCCCAGAAUUCAACUUAAUUUCUGUUGAGUAUGGAAUCAGCUGUAUCAUCUGACCUAAAACAAAACUUUAACCUUGUUCAAUAUUUACAGAAUCAGAUCUGUUGUUUUCUUUUAGGCUUUGGAGAUGGUGUGUUUGGAAUGGCUAGGCAUGUCAGGGCCAUAGAACGCCUUUAAACACAUCCGUCCAGUGUCUUGUUCUCUGUUUCCUGCUCCAAAGCAUUUCUUGAUCUCCCGUGGGAGCCUCAAGGAUUAAACAAGAUACAUCACCUCCCCACUGCCUUCCACGAAGCCUACGUUCCAAGACUUCCAGUGGAUUCCUGAAACUACAGGAGUUCCAGCAGAGCCAGAGGCGACAGUGCCACCAGCAGCGAUGACAAAUUGAAGACUUCACUCAAAGGUGAGUCAGGUCAGCAUGGACCUAGGCCCUUCCUUCUCCAGUGUGCACUGAGUUCCAGCAGAGAAGGCCUGCCCGGAGCUGGCAACCACAGGACACCCUCCUCUAUCAUCCAUACAAGCUCUGACAUAGGGACCAGCUAGGGGUGGCUGGUUAGCUGGUGCAAGGUGGAAGGGACUCGCCCGCUUCGAGCCACGCUCCAGGAAACAUGAGUUUCGCCAACAAUGACCAGGUUCCUUUCUCACCAUGCACUUGGUGGCCUCCACUCGCGGAGCUCGCCUCCGACAGAGCGGUCUCCUUCUAGGCUGCCGGCUCCUGCCGGAGGGCGUGCAGCAAGAUGCAUGCCCGGGGUCCUAGUGUCUUCCCCAAGCUCCUGGAUUUGCAAAGGCUAUGAUAGGUGGCCGGCGGCAGCCACAGCCUGGGA
Long non-coding RNA from Peromyscus leucopus (white-footed mouse), 1012 nucleotides. RefSeq lists it as uncharacterized. Lineage: Eukaryota; Metazoa; Chordata; Mammalia; Rodentia; Cricetidae. The transcript has 4 exons. The record is from RefSeq and is a predicted model, not a curated record.